Molecule: ribosomal RNA, 1218 nt
Filed under: Gorgonomyces haynaldii
Lineage: Eukaryota; Fungi; Chytridiomycota; Chytridiomycetes; Rhizophydiales; Gorgonomycetaceae
Description: SSU rRNA
Rfam family: Eukaryotic small subunit ribosomal RNA
Source: RNAcentral
GCGGUAAUUCCAGCUCCAAUAGCGUAUAUUAAAGUUGUUGCAGUUAAAAAGCUCGUAGUUGAAUUUUGGAGUGAGGACGGGGUGCGCCGCGAGGUGUUAACUCUGUGCUUGCUCCUUUCUUCUGGGAUGAGCGGUGCGCUUUACUGCGUGUCGUGAGUGCCAGGACAUUUACUUUGAAAAAAUUAGAGUGUUCAAAGCAGGCGUUGUUUGAAUACAUUAGCAUGGAAUAAUAGAAUAGGACUUUGGUUCUAUUUUGUUGGUUUCUAGGACCAGAGUAAUGAUUAAUAGGGAUAGUUGGGGGCAUUAGUAUUUAAUUGUCAGAGGUGAAAUUCUUGGAUUUAUGAAAGACUAACUUCUGCGAAAGCAUUUGCCAAGGAUGUUUUCAUUAAUCAAGAACGAAAGUUAGGGGAUCAAAGACGAUCAGAUACCGUCGUAGUCUUAACCAUAAACUAUGCCGACUAGGGAUCGGACGAUGUAAAUUGACGCGUUCGGCACCUUGUGAGAAAUCAAAGUUUUUGGGUUCCGGGGGGAGUAUGGUCGCAAGGCUGAAACUUAAAGGAAUUGACGGAAGGGCACCACCAGGAGUGGAGCCUGCGGCUUAAUUUGACUCAACACGGGGAAACUCACCAGGUCCAGACAUGGUAAGGAUUGACAGAUUGAGAGCUCUUUCUUGAUUCUAUGGGUGGUGGUGCAUGGCCGUUCUUAGUUGGUGGAUUGAUUUGUCUGGUUAAUUCCGAUAACGAACGAGACCUUAACCUGCUAAAUAGUUGGGGCCACUUUGGUGGUCGUUCAACUUCUUAGAGGGACUAUCGGCGACUAGCCGAUGGAAGUUUGAGGCAAUAACAGGUCUGUGAUGCCCUUAGAUGUUCUGGGCCGCACGCGCGCUACACUGACAAAGGCAACGAGUUUUUCCUUGGCCGGAAGGUCUGGGUAAUCUUGUGAAACUUUGUCGUGCUGGGGAUAGUCCUUUGCAAUUAUUGGACUUGAACGAGGAAUUCCUAGUAAGCGUGAGUCAUCAGCUCGCGUUGAUUACGUCCCUGCCCUUUGUACACACCGCCCGUCGCUACUACCGAUUGAAUGGCUUAGUGAGACCUCUGGAUUUGUGGCCUGCUGCUGGUGACGGCGGUGGGCUAUGGAGAAACUGGUCAAACUUGGUCAUUUAGAGGAAGUAAAAGUCGUAACAAGGUAACCGUAGGUGAACCUGCGGUUGGAUCAUUC